Molecule: transfer RNA, 73 nt
Filed under: Chlorokybus atmophyticus
Lineage: Eukaryota; Viridiplantae; Streptophyta; Chlorokybophyceae; Chlorokybales; Chlorokybaceae
Description: tRNA-Trp (CCA) (tRNA-Trp-CCA-3-1)
Rfam family: tRNA
About the family: Transfer RNA (tRNA) molecules are approximately 80 nucleotides in length. Their secondary structure includes four short double-helical elements and three loops (D, anti-codon, and T loops).
Source: RNAcentral
GCGUCCUUAGUUCAGCUGGUAGAACGCAGGUCUCCAAAACCUGAUGUCGUAGGUUCAAUUCCUACAGGGCGUG